This is a long non-coding RNA of Hemicordylus capensis (graceful crag lizard), 910 nucleotides long. RefSeq lists it as uncharacterized. NCBI's taxonomy places the organism in Eukaryota, Metazoa, Chordata, Lepidosauria, Squamata, Cordylidae. The transcript has 4 exons. The record is from RefSeq and is a predicted model, not a curated record.
CAGUAGAGUCUGCAGGCCAGCGAGUAGGACCUUCUAACAGUGGACCAUUCCUCUGCUAUGCUGAGGAAGCCCUUAAGUUCCUCUUUUCUGGUGUCAUGAAUGGCUAGAACCAAGUGCACUCAGAAAUCCCUAGAAACACAUGAGAAAAAACCAAAGUCUGACAGGAGGAGCUUAAGUCCAAAGGCCACACUAGAAUAUGUGUCAGAAAACAAGAUGAAACAACAGUUUUCUGAUUCAAUGAACUGAGGACUUCAUACUGCAAACCCAUGUUGAGAAAUGGUUUAACAGCACAUGUGAGAAGAGGAAGAAGAAGACUGUGCAAUAAAAAUAACUGGGCAGAGCAGCAUUUGGAUAAAGGUCCAUAUCAGCAUAGUCAGGAGCAAAGGUGGAAGCAGCAAUGAGGUGAAACCCUUGAGGUGAAAGCCCAAGAAAUGUCAGAAGAAACAAAUGUACCACAAAGAGCAGGAGAUCCAAUGGCAAAUAGGAAGGGCAAAGUACCAGAACAAACAGCUGAAGCCAGGCCAGAAACAGUGGAAAAGACAUUGAAAGCACCAGAAACCACUGCAGCAGCAACAAUGGAUGCAGCAAGAGAUAUAAAAUCUGAAAUAUUAGCUAGAGCAGCAGAGAAGGUGGCAAAAGCACAAAGCGCAAUGGUGCUGAAAUCAGCAAAAUUAGAGUUGAGGCACAGAAGAAGAAAUGUAAACUUGAAGCAAAAAGAUCUUGUUCCCCAUGAUCUGGAGGAAAAUGAAGUAAAUGAGACUGAAAGAAAAUGAAGGAGGCAUGCAGUUAGCAAGAAAAUAGUAUACUAGUGGCAACAAGGGUGAUUGCUGUGUGUGACUGGGAAAUUACAUCUGGAACACUGCUUGUGUCUUCCUUGGGAAACAGUCAAUAAAGAUUUCCUGCAUUCUGA